GGGGAAUUUUGGACAAUGGGCGCAAGCCUGAUCCAGCCAUGCCGCGUGCGGGAAGAAGGCCUUCGGGUUGUAAACCGCUUUUGUCGGGGAAGAAAUCUUCUGAGCUAAUAUCUCGGGAGGAUGACGGUACCCGAAGAAUAAGCACCGGCUAACUACGUGCCAGCAGCCGCGGUAAUACGUAGGGUGCGAGCGUUAAUCGGAAUUACUGGGCGUAAAGCGUGCGCAGGCGGUCUUGCAAGACAGGUGUGAAAUCCCCGGGCUUAACCUGGGAACUGCACUUGUGACUGCAAGGCUGGAGUACGGCAGAGGGGGAUGGAAUUCCGCGUGUAGCAGUGAAAUGCGUAGAUAUGCGGAGGAACACCGAUGGCGAAGGCAGUCCCCUGGGCCUGUACUGACGCUCAUGCACGAAAGCGUGGGGAGCAAAC
This 425-nucleotide ribosomal RNA is filed under the name uncultured bacterium. Its description in RNAcentral is "bacterial SSU rRNA". It matches the Rfam family "Bacterial small subunit ribosomal RNA", at positions 356 to 773 of the family's 1533-position model. The record is from RNAcentral.